GACGAACGCUGGCGGCGUGCUUAACACAUGCAAGUCGAACGGAAAGGCCCUGCUUUUGUGGGAUGCUCGAGUGGCGAACGGGUGAGUAACACGUGAGUAACCUGCCCUUUACUUUGGGAUACCUUCAGGAAACUGGGGCUAAUACCGCAUAUGAGCUCCUGCUGCAUGGGGGUGGUGGGUAAGUUUCGGCGGUUGGGGAUUCACUCGUGGUGUAUCAGCGUGUUGGUGGGGUAGUGGCUUACCAGGUCUAGGACGGGUUGCCGACUGGGGGGGGUGACCGGCCACGUUGGGACGGGGAGAGGGGCCAAACUGCUACGGGAGGCGGCAGUAGGGAAGCUGCGGCAACGGGCGAGAGUCUGACAGAGCAACGCCGCGGGAGUGAACAAGGGUUUCGGAUCGUAAAACGCGGUUGGUAGAGAAGAACGUUGGUGAGAGUGGAAAGCUCAUAAAGUGACGGUAACUACCCAGAAAGGGACGGCUAACUACGUG
This 489-nucleotide ribosomal RNA is filed under the name uncultured bacterium. Its description in RNAcentral is "partial 16S ribosomal RNA". It matches the Rfam family "Bacterial small subunit ribosomal RNA", at positions 28 to 507 of the family's 1533-position model. The record is from RNAcentral.